GAUGAAGAACGUAGCGAAAUGCGAUACGUAAUGUGAAUUGCAGAAUUCAGUGAAUCAUCGAAUCUUUGAACGCACAUUGCGCCCUCUGGUAUUCCGGGGGGCAUGCCUGUUCGAGCGUCAUUAUAACCACUCAAGCUCUCGCUUGGUAUUGGGGUUCGCGGUUUCGCGGCCCCUAAAAUCAGUGGCGGUGCCUGUCGGCUCUACGCGUAGUAAUACUUCUCGCGAUUGAGUUCGAUAGGUCUACUUGCCAGUAACCCCCAAUUUUUACAGGUUGACCUCGGAUCAGGUAGGGAUACCCGCUGAACUUAAGCAUAUCAAUAAGCGGAGGA
RNAcentral lists this unclassified non-coding RNA (329 nucleotides) under soil metagenome. RNAcentral's name for it is "partial contains 5.8S ribosomal RNA, internal transcribed spacer 2, and large subunit ribosomal RNA". The stretch from base 1 to 120 matches the Rfam family "5.8S ribosomal RNA", at positions 35 to 154 of the family's 154-position model. The record is from RNAcentral.